UUUACUCUUUUUUAUUUCCUGUUCUUUAGUCUAACUGAAUAUGGGUUUUUGCCAGGGCUUGUCAUAUUGCAGUAGUGAAAGCAACACUGACCUGGAACUAAGACUACUUGCUUGAAAAGGUUUCCCGAGUAUUUGGAUUUGUUACUUGCCCUUUUGCAUCUGGCUGAAUAUGAAAAUGCGAGGCAGAGAGUAAGAAGCUCUCAGAAAAACUCCUCACUGCAAUAUAAUCAUCUAUUAUCUCUAUGAAUUGGACUUCAUUUCUAAAUUCUGGAGAUGGCUGAGAUGGAGAAUCCAUUUCAUUAUGAGAAUCAGAAGAUCCAGGUGAUACUGCUGUGAUUUUCCCUGGAUCUUUUUUGGCUGGGACAAAAAUAGAUAAUACUUCAAAGGAUUGGUUCUGAAACUGAAUUUUGGGAUGGUGUUCCUUCUGGGAAGCCUAAAAGGGAGGCGGCUCUCACUCUCAUAGC
Sarcophilus harrisii (Tasmanian devil) is the source of this 464-nucleotide long non-coding RNA. RefSeq lists it as uncharacterized. The transcript is spliced from 3 exons. Lineage: Eukaryota; Metazoa; Chordata; Mammalia; Dasyuromorphia; Dasyuridae. The record is from RefSeq and is a predicted model, not a curated record.